This 256-nucleotide unclassified non-coding RNA is filed under the name air metagenome. Its description in RNAcentral is "partial contains small subunit ribosomal RNA, internal transcribed spacer 1, and 5.8S ribosomal RNA". The stretch from base 1 to 46 matches the Rfam family "Eukaryotic small subunit ribosomal RNA", at positions 1786 to 1831 of the family's 1831-position model. The record is from RNAcentral.
AAGUCGUAACAAGGUCUCCGUUGGUGAACCAGCGGAGGGAUCAUUACAGAGUGUAAAAACUCCCCAAACCACUGUGAACAUACCUCUACGUUGCUUCGGCGGGACCGCCCCGGGCGCGCUUCAGCGUGCCCCGGAACCAGGCACCCGCCGGGGACCCCCAAACUUAUGAUUUACCCUGAGCGGUAGGAUACUCUGAGUGGCCGCAAGGCAAAACAAAAAUGAAUCAAAACUUUCAACAACGGAUCUCUUGGUUCUG